This 3820-nucleotide long non-coding RNA is filed under the name Sus scrofa (pig). RNAcentral describes it as "lncRNA (ENSSSCG00065018044.1)". Lineage: Eukaryota; Metazoa; Chordata; Mammalia; Artiodactyla; Suidae. The record is from RNAcentral.
UUUUUUUUUUUUUCAUGAUAGCUAUCCUAAUGGGUGUGAGGUAGUACCUCAUUGUGGUUUUGAUUUGGCUUUUCUUAAUGAUUAAUGAUGUCCAGCAAUUUUCCUGUGCUUAUUUAUCUAUUUCUUUUUACAUUUUAAUCUUUUCUUCUUUUUUUAGCCAUGCCUGCGGCUUGUGGAAGUUCCUGGGCCAGGGAUCGGACCUGUGCCACAGUGGUUAUCCAGGCCUCUGCAGUGACAAUGCCAGAUUCUUAUCCCACUGCACCACAAGAGAACUCCCUCUUUUUGUAUUUUGAAAUAAGACCACUAUGAAACUGAAAAUUACCUAAGCAGCUCCUAUUGUACUACUCUUGCAUAGCACUAUUUCAGACACUUGAAAACAGAAUGUGGGUAUGAGCAGAUGAGCAGUGAGGAUUCAUUGAUGUUUUCAGAUGUGCUGCAAAUGUGUCAGACCUCCACCUGCAGGAGACAGGGAGACAUCUGCCCAGGUCCACAUUUGUAGAAUAGAUGUCAAGCUAACAGGUGGAGGGCUCCAGCCUGAGGAGAGACAGCUCUGCAGGGAAGAUAGUGGACAUUCAUUAAACCAUUAUUCCCAGUGAGGAAAAACACAUGCUCACAUUUUUGUAAUUCCUCCUCUUCUCCUUCUUCUACCUUUUUGCCUUUUAGGGCCACACAUGCAGCAUAUGGGGUCCCAAGCUAGGGGUCCAAUCAGAGAUGUAGCUGCCAGCCUACACCAUACCCACAGCAACUCAGUAUCUGAGCCAUGACUGCGACCUACACCACACUCACGGGAAAGCCACUAAGCAAGGCCAGGGAUCGAACCUGCAUCCUCAUGGAUACUAGUUGGAUUUGUUUCUGCUGUGUCAUAUUGGGAACACCUGCAAUUCUUCUUCAAAACACUUUAUAGUCCAGAGUGAGGAUAUUCCCAGAGAAAUGAGAUGUUGGCAGAAGAGUUGCUGCAUUCCCAUCAAUGGGGAUUUCCUCCGGAAAACAACCUGCUGCUUUCUGUCCAGUAGGUGGAGUCCCCCAGGACUGGAGGUGGUACAGGAGGGUUUGGGAAUUUGCAUUCAUCCCUACACUGGUCCUCUGUUGCCCCCUGAGGCUUAGCCAGGUCUGCAGCUGCUGAGAGCCCUCCUGGGGUGGGGGUGCUGGGGAGAAUGUUGGAGGUCAGCUCCCAGCACUCAGGGCAUGAGAAAGACAACCCAAGAGCAUGUGAAUGAGCAGAGCCCCUCUCCCUCACUUGGGUCUCUAGGAAGAGGCUGGGGUAGUCUGGGGCCUCUUGGCAGCUACAUUGUGGGCUGUGGGAGUCAUAAUGGCUGAGGAGGUGGGGCUCCAUGGCCACAGGGUCUAGGUCAUGCUUCACAGAUGCCAAAGUAGUCUGCCUCCUGGGGGGAAAGAGACUGGGAGGGAGGGAGGCACUGAGGGGAGACUGGAGGGGGCAACUUGGGAGGGAAUGAUUCCUAUUCAAGAACAGCAUAGCAGGUAGCCCCUGAUAUCUGUGUGGGAGCUGCUCUGAACCAUGUCCUGGGCCAUAGAGGUGACAUUUAUGGAGGAGUCACUUAAGUCAAACACUCUGGGAGUUCGGGUGGAUGUGGCCGGCCCACUGGUACUGUCCUCAAUGCCACACUUACUGAGCUACGUCCAGUAAUGACCAAGUCAGCACCAAGUUUGCCCUCCCUGGAGCUCUCAGCCCAAGAUGAUCAGGGCCAGGAUUGGGGAGGCAGAGGCAGAGGGGUCAGGGCCAGGAUGAGGGAGCAUGAGUGGCUGAGGGGACUCAGAUAAGGCAACAGGCCCAACCUGAAACAUCAGGAGUGUUCUUAGGAAAGAACUGGAGGAAUAAGUAAACAUGAGCCAAGGGAAGAAAGAGAACGGGAAGCGUAUAAAGACGUGCUGAUUCUCAGGUCCCUCCCAGACCUAUGGAAUCAGAGUCUACGUUUUUAAGAUGCUCAGGUACUUCCUUUGCAUGGCUGAUUCAAGAAGUCCUGUUCUACAUCACAAAUUUGGCACUGUUUGUUUGUCUUUUUAGGGCCGAACCCGCGGCCUAUGGAGGUUCCCAGGCGAGGGGUCAAAUUGGACAUGUAGCUGCUGGCCUACACCACAGCCAUAGCAAUGCCAGGUCCUUAACCCACUGAAUGAGGCCAGGGAUCGAACCUGCGUCCUCAUGGAUGCUAGUCAGAUUCAUUUCCGCUGAGCCACAAUGGGAACUCCGGCUCUGUUCUUUUUUUUGUGUGUGUGUGUCUUUUUCUAGGGCCGCACCUGUGGCAUAUGGAGGUUCCCAGAAAAGGGAGAAAGACAAAAAAUAAAAAUAAAAAAAAGUCAAAAUGAGUUCCUGUUGUGGCGCAGCAGAAACAGAUCCAACUAGGAACCAUGAGGUUUCAGGUUUGAUCCCUGGCCUUACUCAGUGAGUUAAGGAACCGGCGUUGCUGUGAGCUGUGGUGUAGGCCAGAGGCUACAGCUCGGAUUAGACCCUUAGCCUGAGGACCUCCAUAUUAUGUGAGUGUGGCCCUAAAAAGCAAAAAAAAAAAAGACAAAAAAAAAAAAAAAAAAAGUCAAAUGACUGGGACAGAAAUUUUUCCAAGGAAGAUAUACAAACAGCCAAAAAGCACAUGCGAAUUUGCUCAACAUCACUGAUCAUUGGGAAAUGCAAAUUAAAAACGAGAUACCACUUCACAACCACUAGGAAGUGGUUAUAAUCCACUUCCAAAUAUAGUCCAAAAAAUGGAAAAUAGCAAGUGUGGACAAGGUUGUGAGACACUGGAGUCCUGACACGUUGCUGAUGGAGCUGUGAAACGGUGCAGCCACUGUGAGAAACAGUCUGGCAGUUUCUCAGAAAGUUAAACAUGGAGUUAUCACAUGACCCAGCCAUUCCACUCCUAGGUAUGCACCCAAGAGAAAUGAAAACAUGGGUCCACACAAAGACUUAUACACGAACAUUCAUAACAGCAUUGUUCAAGAUGGCCAAAGCAUGGAAAUAAUACAAAUGUCCAACAUCCAAUGAAUGAAUAUGCAACAUAGCGUGUAUCUGUACAAUUGUACAUUAUUCAGCCAUAAACAGGAAUGAAGCACUGAUAUAUGCUACAUCAUGGAUGAACCUUGAAAAUAUUAGGCUACAUGAAAGAAGCCAGAGACAAGGCCCAGCCUCCACUUUUCAUUCAUUCCACAAACCUUUACUGGCUGCUUCCUGUGUGCUUGGGACCAUUCAAUUACUGAGGAUUCUUGGCAGUUCUGGUCAAGGCUCAGCGGAAAUGAACCCGAUUAGUAUCCAUGAGGAUUCGGGUUCCAUCCUUGGCCUUGCUCAGUGGGGUAAGGAUCCAGCAUUGCCGUCUGUAGGUUGCAGAUGCGGCUUCGAUCCUGUGUGGCUGUGGCCGGGGCGUAGGCUGGCAGCUGUAGCUCUGAUUCGACCCUGAGCCUGGGAACUUCCAUAUGCUGCACCUGUGGCCCUGAAAAAAAAAAAAGCAAAAACAAAAAUCAAGUACUGGGGAUUCAGGGAAAACAAAAACAAGACAAGCAAAAGACAGUAAUCAUAGUAGCUAACCCUCACCACACAGGAACUGCACAGGGACGGGGCAGUAUAUUCGACCCUCAGGAGGUUAUCAGCUUCUAGAUCAGUAUAAUGAACUUCACCAAAGGCUGCAGUCAAGGUCAGUCAGUAGGGGUGGGACUCUAAUCAGGCCUCUGACCUGCACCAAUUUCUCCCUCUCCUUGCCCUUCCCAAGGAAUAUGGCAUUGAUCCCAGAGCCAGGCCAGUGUAGACGGGGAGGUUCCAUCCUUACCACAGGGCCAGCCCUUCCCCCGGGCUCAAUCCCAUCUCAGUUCCCUCCCC